RNAcentral lists this ribosomal RNA (438 nucleotides) under uncultured bacterium. RNAcentral's name for it is "partial 16S ribosomal RNA". It matches the Rfam family "Bacterial small subunit ribosomal RNA", at positions 28 to 507 of the family's 1533-position model. The record is from RNAcentral.
GAUGAACGCUGGCGGUAUGCUUAACACAUGCAAGUCGAACGGACUCUUCGGAGUUAGUGGCGGACGGGUGAGUAACGCGUGAGAAUCUGGCUUUGGGUUCGGGACAACCACUGGAAACGGUGGCUAAUACCGGAUGUGCCGAGAGGUAAAAGAGAAAUUGCCUGAAGAUGAGCUCGCGUCUGAUUAGCUAGUUGGUGAGGUAAAGGCUCACCAAGGCAGCGAUCAGUAGCUGGUCUGAGAGGAUGACCAGCCACACUGGGACUGAGACACGGCCCAGACUCCUACGGGAGGCGGCAGCGGGGAAUAUGGCACAAUGGGCGGAAGCCAGAUGCAGCCACGCCGCGGGCGGGAUGACGGCGGGGCGGUUGGAAACCGCGUUCAGCAGGGGCGAAGCUGGUGGUGACGGUACCUGCAGAAGAAGCACGGGCUAACUACGGG